UCAGGCCUAACACAUGCAAGUCGAGCGAGGUUUUCGGACCUAGCGGCGGACGGGUGAGUAACGCGUGGGAACGUGCCCCUUGGUACGGAAUAGCCCCGGGAAACUGGGAGUAAUACCGUAUGAGCUCUACGGAGGAAAGAUUUAUCGCCAAGGGAUCGGCCCGCGUUGGAUUAGGUAGUUGGUGGGGUAAUGGCCUACCAAGCCGACGAUCCAUAGCUGGUUUGAGAGGAUGAUCAGCCACACUGGGACUGAGACACGGCCCAGACUCCUACGGGAGGCAGCAGUGGGGAAUCUUAGACAGUGGGCGCAAGCCUGAUCUGGCCAUGCCGCGUGAGUGAAGGAGGCCUUAGGGUUGUAAAGCUCUUCAGCGAGGAAGAUAAUGA
This 383-nucleotide ribosomal RNA is filed under the name uncultured bacterium. RNAcentral describes it as "bacterial SSU rRNA". It matches the Rfam family "Bacterial small subunit ribosomal RNA", at positions 42 to 454 of the family's 1533-position model. The record is from RNAcentral.